AACGAACGCUGGCGGCAUGCCUAACACAUGCCAGUCGAACGAGACCUUCGGGUCUAGUGGCGCACGGGUGCGUAACGCGUGGGAACCUGCCCUUAGGUUCGGAAUAACUCCCCGAAAGGGGUGCUAAUACCGGAUAAUGUCUUCGGACCAAAGAUUUAUCGCCUUUGGAUGGGCCCGCGUUGGAUUAGCUAGUUGGUAGGGUAAAAGCCUACCAAGGCGACGAUCCAUAGCUGGUCUGAGAGGAUGAUCAGCCACACUGGGACUGAGACACGGCCCAGACUCCUACGGGAGGCAGCAGUGGGGAAUAUUGGACAAUGGGCGAAAGCCUGAUCCAGCAAUGCCGCGUGAGUGAUGAAGGCCUUAGGGUUGUAAAGCUCUUUUACCCAGGAUGAUAAUGACAGUACCGGGAGAAUAAGCGCCGGCUAACUCCGUG
This 433-nucleotide ribosomal RNA is filed under the name uncultured bacterium. Its description in RNAcentral is "partial 16S ribosomal RNA". It matches the Rfam family "Bacterial small subunit ribosomal RNA", at positions 29 to 507 of the family's 1533-position model. The record is from RNAcentral.